RNAcentral lists this ribosomal RNA (428 nucleotides) under uncultured bacterium. RNAcentral describes it as "bacterial SSU rRNA". It matches the Rfam family "Bacterial small subunit ribosomal RNA", at positions 28 to 480 of the family's 1533-position model. The record is from RNAcentral.
GAUAAACGCUGGCGGUGUGCUUUAUGCAUGCAAGUCGAACGGACAUUAGCAAUAAUGUCAGUGGCGGAUGGGUGAGUAACACGUAAGCAACCUACCCUUAAGUGGGGAAUAGCUCCGAGAAAUUGGAAUUAAUACCGCAUGUGGUUCUUCACCACAAGGUGAAGAACCAAAGCCUUCGGGCGCUUGAGGAGGGGCUUGCGUACGAUUAGCUAGUUGGUGAGGUAACGGCCUACCAAGGCGACGAUCGUUAGCUGGUUUGAGAGGACGACCAGCCACACUGGGACUGAGACACGGCCCAGACUCCUACGGGAGGCAGCAGCAAGGAAUAUUGGGCAAUGGGCGAAAGCCUGACCCAGCGACAUCGCGUGGGGGAAGAAGGCCCUCGGGUUGUAAACCCCUUUUCCCAGGGACGAAUAAUGACGGUACCU